GAGCUCAGAGUGAGUUGACCUGGCCUGGACUUCCGGUCUUCCGCAACCUCUCCGGAAGUCUCAGGUAGCAGGCUCUGGCUCUUAAAAUGAAAGUCAAAGACUACCUUCUCUCCCUGGAUUGAUUCAUUUUUGUUGUCUUCCUGUUUGGAAGUGUCCAAGUGAAAUAUGAGAACAGAGGACUAAUAUUAACUAGUAAUGUUACCCUGAAAGAUGUCGCUACCUCUCCUGGAAAAGCAUUUCUCGUCUUUGGCCUGGUUGUCAGUGGGGCAUUCCUUACCUCAGAAAAGCCUCUUUUCCACUCCUUCAUGCUGUGGAAUUCCCAGAUUUCUUCAGCCACAGAGAUUCAGAAGCCUUAAAUAUUUUGGUGAAAUUUAUUCCUGAAUCACCACAGGAGCUAAAAGCAAUACUUUCUGACAAGCAGUCAUUAUUGAGGACACUACAACAUCCAAAAGACAGGGGAAUUUUACUUGAUAUGUUUGUCAAACGUUGUUGUAAAUUUAAUUGUGUCAAACAAGCUAAGAUGUUAAUUGUAAUUUCUAAUCCACUUAUGUAAUCUUCAUUUCUAAUCUUGAAUAUACUGUCACUGAUGUCCCGGUCAGUCACUACUGAUUAUUAAAAUCAUG
This 623-nucleotide long non-coding RNA is filed under the name Heterocephalus glaber (naked mole-rat). RNAcentral's name for it is "lncRNA (ENSHGLG00100039235.1)". Lineage: Eukaryota; Metazoa; Chordata; Mammalia; Rodentia; Bathyergidae. The record is from RNAcentral.